GAUGAAGAACGUAGCGAAAUGCGAUAAGUAAUGUGAAUUGCAGAAUUCAGUGAAUCAUCGAAUCUUUGAACGCACAUUGCGCCCGCCAGUAUUCUGGCGGGCAUGCCUGUUCGAGCGUCAUUACAACCCUCAGGCCCCCGGGCCUGGCGUUGGGGAUCGGCGGAGCCCCCCGUGGGCACACGCCGUCCCCCAAAUACAGUGGCGGUCCCGCCGCAGCUUCCAUCGCGUAGUAGCUAACACCUCGUGACUGGAGAGCGGCGCGGCCACGCCGUAAAACACCCAACUCUUCUGAAGUUGACCUCGAAUCAGGUAGGAAUACCCGCUGAACUUAAGCAUAUCAAUAAGCGGAGGA
RNAcentral lists this unclassified non-coding RNA (352 nucleotides) under soil metagenome. RNAcentral's name for it is "partial contains 5.8S ribosomal RNA, internal transcribed spacer 2, and large subunit ribosomal RNA". The stretch from base 1 to 120 matches the Rfam family "5.8S ribosomal RNA", at positions 35 to 154 of the family's 154-position model. The record is from RNAcentral.